ACCUGGGCUGUAACAAGCCCGGCCCACAGCGCCCCACUGUGAGACUGAGAACCCGAGAACCACACCGGACACACCUCUCAGCCCCAGCGACCAAAUCCGCCACCGCGCCGCCGCCGCCGGAAGGAAGGAAGAGAGCCCCGCAGCGCGCGAUGAACACCGACAUCACCGCGUCGGUGAAGCCGGAGUACCCGGUGGUGGACCGGAACCCCGCCUUCACCAAAGUCGUCGCCAACUUCUCCACGCUCGACUACCUCCGCCUCUCCACCAUCUCCGCCGUCUCCGUCACCGUCGGCUACCUCUCCGGUUUGCUGCUAGAUGACCUUCUUGGUGCUGAAACAACAAGCAGCUGCAGCUGCUGCUACAUGCAAGCUGGAGGAGCACCUGGCAUAUUUGCUUACAAUGAUGAACAAACAGGGCAAAUGACUACAGAAACAACUGCGGAUGGAGAAGUGGUUCUUGGAACCCCAGUUGCUUCUCCUGUUAGAUAAUGGGGAUGUGCAUACUGAUAUCAGCCCUGAGAAUGCUGUGGUCCAGGGACAGAGGUUUGCAUUACUUCUGUCCUAGACUUGUGCUGCCAUCUUUCUUUGCACGGUCUUCUGUUCAUAAUAAAUGUGAUCUACCAUGUGUUUCGAACUUAAUUUUUUUGUGUGCGCAGAAGAUCGAGCAAAUGUGUUGAUUACUUGGUUGAAGCAUCUGCUGCAGAGGUUGGGCGAUCACUGCUACUUUAGCUGCUAUAAAGGCGACACAAGUUAAAUGGGCCUGGCUACAUGGUGAUGGUGAGGAACGGCAAAGAAAUCUAUGCAUGAGGUUUAUUUUGAAUUUCCAGUGUCUUUGAGAAGGAUUAAACUUGUCUGUCGUUGCACCGUUACCUGGUACUAGCAUGCAUGGUGAUCUGUAUGUAUGUAAGCUGUUGUUGAACCAGAAGCAGUAAGCUGGUUGCUGCCUUCAUGUUUGAGUUCUUUAUAUAUGCAAGUCGAGCAAUUGUCAGUUGGGUGAAGGUACAUGCUCUGUAAAAUUGUUUGCUCCGAUUUUUGAAACAAUGUUCACCGUAUGAUCCUAACCCUAACUG
Molecule: RNA transcript, 1069 nt
Organism: Triticum aestivum (bread wheat)
Lineage: Eukaryota; Viridiplantae; Streptophyta; Magnoliopsida; Poales; Poaceae
Gene name: NADH-ubiquinone oxidoreductase 20.9 kDa subunit
Exons: 3
Source: RefSeq, a predicted model, not a curated record